RNAcentral lists this ribosomal RNA (344 nucleotides) under uncultured bacterium. RNAcentral describes it as "bacterial SSU rRNA". It matches the Rfam family "Bacterial small subunit ribosomal RNA", at positions 8 to 334 of the family's 1533-position model. The record is from RNAcentral.
AGGGUUUGAUUAUGGCUCAGGAUGAACGCUGGCGGCGUGCCUAACACAUGCAAGUCGAGCGAAGCGAUCGAGAUGAAGUUUUCGGAUGGAUUCCUGAUUGACUGAGCGGCGGACGGGUGAGUAACGCGUGGGUAACCUGCCUCAUACAGGGGGAUAACAGUUAGAAAUGACUGCUAAUACCGCAUAAGCGCACAGUACCACAUGGUACGGUGUGAAAAACUCCGGUGGUAUGAGAUGGACCCGCGUCUGAUUAGCUAGUUGGUGGGGUAACGGCCCACCAAGGCGACGAUCAGUAGCCGACCUGAGAGGGUGAUCGGCCACAUUGGGACUGAGACACGGCCCAA